AAAAUCCGUCGACUUAAAAAAUCGUGAGGGUUCAAGUCCCUCU
This 43-nucleotide transfer RNA is filed under the name Lygisma inflexum. Its description in RNAcentral is "partial tRNA-Leu". Lineage: Eukaryota; Viridiplantae; Streptophyta; Magnoliopsida; Gentianales; Apocynaceae. The record is from RNAcentral. RNAcentral also lists the same sequence under 1 other name.